AGCCACCAGGCGCCCCACCACUAGGUUCUUUAAUAGCCUUCUCCCUUCCCUUAUUUGUGACUUAUCUCUUCAACAGAGAGAAACCUGGCUCUCCUUAUUUACAAUAUGUUUACUUAUUUAUUCAAUCCCAGUAUACCAAUAAAAUAGUUUUGAAAUUGCUAAUCUGUGAGAAACAGAUUAGCUAACUAGAGUCAGUAUUUGCAUACAGCUCUUUUUUGUCCUUAGACUUAAGAGUUUCUAGUGAAAAUAGUAUUUUCCAGAAUUACUGAGGAUUGUUCUGUAUUUCAGUGUGACUAUGUUAUUUGUCUGUAAAAUAGUUUCAUAUGCUACCAUUUGUGUUCCAUUUGGGUCUGAUGUCCUGGUUGAUUUAAAUUUGGUACUUAUUUUCGGGUAUGUGAAGUGUUACUACGGUUCUAAGACUAGAGCUGUAGAAUUUGCAUCAAGUGUCUGCCCCCACUUUAUACCUGUCGUCCCCCUUCUUUCGUACCUUUUCCCACCCACUCUCCAUGGAAACCAGUGUCUUUAGUUCCUGGCACCUCCUCCCUGUAUUUCCUUUGUACAGAUGAGCAGAUGGGUGCAGGUGUUCUCAUCCCCCUUCUUGCAUUGCACAUCUUCUUUUGCACUUUGUCACUGUACGUCCUGGGAAUCUCUGCGAGCCCACGCACAGAGGUCUUCCCCUAUUUUUUACAGCUGCCUGGAGCCGUGUUGCUGAGAUGGGCCGCGCUUCUCCAGCUACUCUCCAGCCUGUGCCUGUUCAGGUGGUUUCCAGUAUCUUCCAGCUUAACCAGUGCUACAGGGAGUAACCUCGUGCAUUCUUUUUUCCCAUGUCGUUGUAGGUAUGCCUACCUGACAGGUUCCUGCAGGCAUAAUUUCUGGGUUAAAAAGUCUCUGUAGCUUUUGUUAGGUAUCACCAACUUUCCUACAGGAUAUGCAGCCCAGGAGACACCUGUUUCCCUACAGCCUCGCCAGCAGAGUCCGCACCACGCCUCAGCAUUUUGCCAGUCUGACAGAUGACAAGUGCCCGGUGGGGUCUUCUCGUUUGCUCUUCUCUAAGUAAACGGGCAUGCAAGAGAGUAGAAGCGGCCGGGCCAGAAUGGGGCUGCGGCCCCGCGAAGCUCAGCGCCCUGGUGUCCUGGAGUGGCGGGGGGCUGCCACGUGUGGGGAUUCCUCAGAACGGUGGAAGGAGCUCAGCCCAGCCUUGCCUGAGAUGUAUUGCGGGGGAGUCUG
Non-coding RNA from Leptonychotes weddellii (Weddell seal), 1227 nucleotides. The record is from RefSeq and is a predicted model, not a curated record. Lineage: Eukaryota; Metazoa; Chordata; Mammalia; Carnivora; Phocidae.